CAAUCAGUGUUGCAGAGGUAAAAGAAAUAACCUGAGCAGGCAGGAACCUCAAGUGCUCUUGCUCUCCCUGGUAUUGUGUUUCAUAUCACCUGUUUUUCUUUAGUUCAAUUUUCUGUUAAGCAUUGCAUGCAACUGUCUACGAAGGAGAGGUAACGCCAUAAAGGAGUCAACUUUUUGUAUGUUUUGACUUAAAAGAUGUCAUUUUUUUUAUUUCUCAUAGAUUGUUGUUUCGUGGUUUGCUAACGAAACCAUAGGCACACGCAGUGAUGGGGAAGAAUGGUUCAGGGAAUAGCACAUUCUCUAAAAAAGAGGUAAAGAGUAAGAGAGCACAGAAGGAAGUUUGCAACUCGAGCUCGAGGAUGGGUGCGGUUUAUAGUUUGUUUGUGAGGGAAGAGGAGAUUCUGAUGGAGCAGAGGAAGAGGGAGUGUGGUGGUUGUGGGUUUGUGGCGAGGAAGGAGAGAGAUGAAGAUAUUGAGCUCGUUGUGCCUCUUGUUUUCAGCUUAUGUACAAAGGUAUUAUGUUUCAUCACUUCAUGUCAUGAUCAUCUUAUUGCUAUGUCUAGGGAUCUUAUAGUUCUUUAGUUGAGCAGCUUUCAUGAAA
This is a long non-coding RNA of Brassica rapa (field mustard), 600 nucleotides long. RefSeq lists it as uncharacterized. Lineage: Eukaryota; Viridiplantae; Streptophyta; Magnoliopsida; Brassicales; Brassicaceae. The record is from RefSeq and is a predicted model, not a curated record.